This 371-nucleotide long non-coding RNA is filed under the name Bos taurus (domestic cattle). RNAcentral describes it as "long non-coding RNA NONBTAT024709". The record is from RNAcentral. Lineage: Eukaryota; Metazoa; Chordata; Mammalia; Artiodactyla; Bovidae.
UGAAUUACAAAACUUUAUUGACUUGUUAAAAACAUGAAUGAAUUCAGCAAGUACAUUUAUGGUCUAUCCACAUUGUUAAAACAGUACUUAAAAAUAAAAUAAAAAUGAUUAUCCAUUAUUUACAGGAAAUGUGGAAAAAUGACUUUAAGACCUGGAACAUUAUGGGGAACAAAACAGGGCAUGAGAAUGAUUCACAGGCUGCCUAUAUGGAUUACAGCAAAUGGAUUUAAACAUGACAUGAGUGAAACUCAAAGAUCUGUCUUUCUCUGGAGUCUCCUGCUAUUUUUUUCCAUUUGCAUACUAACGACCAGCCCGAGGCUCCAAACCACAUUAGUUUGUAUUCAACUCAGGGUGAUCUCACUGUCAAAAUU